This is a long non-coding RNA of Gigantopelta aegis, 727 nucleotides long. RefSeq lists it as uncharacterized. The record is from RefSeq and is a predicted model, not a curated record. Lineage: Eukaryota; Metazoa; Mollusca; Gastropoda; Neomphalida; Peltospiridae. The transcript has 3 exons.
CACAAGCAGAUGCAACUAGAUGUUGUUCAUAAAAGAAAAGCAGUUUUGGAAGAAAAUAAACUUAAAAUGGAAAAGCGAGAACAAGAUGUACUGCGCAGAAAACAUGAGGCAGUUAGUGCUGUUAAAAAACACGAUGGACCGUGUCUGACAUCUCAUGAUGUAGAUGCACUGAUGGAUACAAUCCCAGUUAGAGGACGGAGAAAAUACAUGAUUGAAACCAUCAAGGCAGAGAUUCGUUAUCAGCAGGUGGUCAUGGUAAUAAAGAGUCGACAGCUGAAACGUACGGGGAAAUUGGAGGAGCCAUUUUGAAACAGUUCCUAGAUGACACACAAAUUUUUUCAGACAUUUCGGAUGAAGAGCAUCCGCGUGAAAACCUUGUCCAACAGAAUAGUCUAAGUAACCAAGACAAUCCACAAGAAACCAGUGACUGUGAAGAUGAAGCAAUCUCGAAUUAUGACCAUGAUGAGGAUGAUGAACCUCUAGCUGCACUUUCUAAUAACAUGGAGUCUACUGCUGAACCGAAUGAUGCUGAAGAAAUGGGGCGAUUUCAGUUUUCCAACCAGGGAAUGAGAGUUGCUGUCUAUUAUGAUGAUGACUUUCAUGUUGGAGAAGUUACCAGAGUUAAUUCGGAAUCCAUUGCUCUUGUUCAGUUUAUGCAAAAGUGUGGUGUGAAAAAAGGUGUUUAGAGAUGGCCAACAGUAGAUGAUGAGGAAAAGAAAGAAAGAAG